Molecule: microRNA, 21 nt
Filed under: Capitella teleta
Lineage: Eukaryota; Metazoa; Annelida; Polychaeta; Capitellidae
Description: cte-miR-184b
Gene: cte-miR-184b
Source: miRBase by way of RNAcentral
UGGACGGAGAACUGAUAGGGC